This 254-nucleotide ribosomal RNA is filed under the name uncultured bacterium. Its description in RNAcentral is "partial 16S ribosomal RNA". It matches the Rfam family "Bacterial small subunit ribosomal RNA", at positions 524 to 776 of the family's 1533-position model. The record is from RNAcentral.
UACGUAGGCAGCAAGCGUUGUUCGGAGUUACUGGGCGUAAAGAGCGUGUAGGCGGCCCGUCAAGUCUGGUGUGAAAUCCCCCGGCUCAACCGGGGGGGUGCGCCGGGGACUGGCGGGCUUGGAGCGCGGGAGAGGGAGGCGGAAUUCCGGGUGUAGCGGUGAAAUGCGUAGAGAUCAGGAGGAACACCAGCGGUGUAGACGGCUUUCUGGACCAUGGCUGACGCUGAGACACGAAAGCGUGGGGAGCAAACAGG